AAGCAUUUAUUCUGAAAUUGGAAUGUUGCAUGUAUCUUGAAUUUCUAUGUUUGGAUUGCCUUUUUUAUUGGUGGAUGAAAACUGUCCAACUGUACUUCCACAGACUACGUCCUAGAGAACACAGGAUAUGAUGAUGUGGGAGACAGUGUUGAGGGACUCCUCUCAGAGUCUGUGAGAGAGGAGGGGCUGGAGUAUUAUGAUGACAUCAUCACUGAUCAGAUCGACCCUAAAAUGACCAAGGCAAUGGAGGAGACAAAGCCUGCCAAUGAAGAAGAAGUGGAGUAUUAUGAUGACAUCACAAAUGAGGAGAAUGACCUUAAAAUGACAACAGGGAUUGAUUAUGAUGAUGUGGGGGUGGAGUCUGAGGAGUGACACUGGACAUGAAGAGGGGAGCAUAGGCCAUCGAAAGCAGAUUUCCAACAGAUUUGGUAUCCACUUGUUCUCGAUGUGACAGUAAUCUAGUAGAAUCCACUGAGCGAGGGAUUGGCCCACCCAGCUUCAGAUUAAAGCACCUGGUAUUCCCAGUUACUGUAUGUCCCAUCCAAGUACUAACCAGAACCAGCACUGCUUAGCUUCUGAGAUAGUACGAGAUUGGGCGUGCUCAGUGUGGUAUUUAGUGCUUUCUAAUGUCAUGUAUUUGAUAGUGUUUUUAAUGCCACAUAUAUUUCAGAGUGCUUUUUAAUGCCAUAUGCAUUUGAUAGGGCUUUUUAAUGCCAUAUAUGUUUUAUAGUGUUUUUAAUGCCACAUAUAUUUCAGUUUGCUUUUUAAUGCCAUAUGCAUUUGAUAGGGCUUUUUAAUGCCAUAUAUAUUUGAUAGUGUGUUUACUGCCACAUAUAUUUC
Long non-coding RNA from Clupea harengus (Atlantic herring), 840 nucleotides. RefSeq lists it as uncharacterized. The transcript has 5 exons. Lineage: Eukaryota; Metazoa; Chordata; Actinopteri; Clupeiformes; Clupeidae. The record is from RefSeq and is a predicted model, not a curated record.